This is a long non-coding RNA of Daktulosphaira vitifoliae (grape phylloxera), 193 nucleotides long. RefSeq lists it as uncharacterized. The record is from RefSeq and is a predicted model, not a curated record. Lineage: Eukaryota; Metazoa; Arthropoda; Insecta; Hemiptera; Phylloxeridae. The transcript is spliced from 2 exons.
CUGAAGUAAUAACAUAUGACGUCUUACUGUUGUACAUAUUAAUUAUUGUCAGUAAUUAAUAAAUUACAUUAAUUAGCGAUCGUUUAAUUUUCGAAGGCAUUCUAUACGAAAUACUUUUUACUUAUAUAACUAAAUCAGAUGUUUUAUUUUUUCGUACCUAUUGAAAUAUAUAACACUUUUUUGAAUGCAUAUA